This 458-nucleotide ribosomal RNA is filed under the name uncultured bacterium. RNAcentral's name for it is "bacterial SSU rRNA". It matches the Rfam family "Bacterial small subunit ribosomal RNA", at positions 66 to 524 of the family's 1533-position model. The record is from RNAcentral.
ACGGUAACAGGUUAAGCUGACGAGUGGCGAACGGGUGAGUAAUGUAUCGGAACGUGCCCAGUCGUGGGGGAUAACUACUCGAAAGAGUGGCUAAUACCGCAUGAGACCUGAGGGUGAAAGCGGGGGACUCGCAAGAGCCUCGCGCGAUUGGAGCGGCCGAUAUCAGAUUAGGUUGUUGGUGAGGUAAAAGCUCACCAAGCCGACGAUCUGUAGCUGGUCUGAGAGGACGACCAGCCACACUGGGACUGAGACACGGCCCAGACUCCUACGGGAGGCAGCAGUGGGGAAUUUUGGACAAUGGACGCAAGUCUGAUCCAGCCAUGCCGCGUGCGGGAAGAAGGCCUUCGGGUUGUAAACCGCUUUUGUCAGGGAAGAAACGGCUUUGUCUAAUACACGAGGCUAAUGACGGUACCUGAAGAAUAAGCACCGGCUAACUACGUGCCAGCAGCCGCGGUAAU